Molecule: ribosomal RNA, 207 nt
Filed under: uncultured bacterium
Lineage: Bacteria
Description: partial 16S ribosomal RNA
Rfam family: Bacterial small subunit ribosomal RNA
Source: RNAcentral
UCUGUAGGCGGUGCGGCAAGUCGAUAGUGAAAUCCCUAGGCUUAACCUAGGGGCUGCUAGCGAAACUGCCGUGCUAGAGUGUGAGAGAGGCGAGUGGAAUUACGGGUGUAGCGGUGAAAUGCGUAGAUAUCCGUAGGAACAUCCGAGGCGAAAGCGGCUCGCUGGAUCACAACUGACGCUGAUAGACGAAAGCUAGGGGAGCAAACA